This is a long non-coding RNA of Drosophila innubila, 724 nucleotides long. RefSeq lists it as uncharacterized. The record is from RefSeq and is a predicted model, not a curated record. The transcript is spliced from 2 exons. NCBI's taxonomy places the organism in Eukaryota, Metazoa, Arthropoda, Insecta, Diptera, Drosophilidae.
CAAAAACAAAGCCGAACGAGGCGGACGUGUGACGCUCGGUGCGCUUAGUUGUGAUUUGUAAUUCGUUGUCGCCUGGUGUGUGAGUGUUUUGAAUAUCGCGCCAUCGUCCCGCAACUGCAACAAAAGCCUCUCCCCGCUUAUGCCCCCAACAAAUAAAUAUAAAUCAAAUUAUAAAAAAUAAAUAUAUAUAUAUAAAAAAAAACAAAACAAACUCAAACUCAAACUAAAGAAAAGAAAAGCACAACGAAUAGCAGAUAAAGAGAAAGAGAGAAAGAAAGAGAGAGAGAGAGAGCGAGAGCAGCUGCAGCUUUGAAACAUGUUUACCGAGGAGGGCAUCUUUCCCAUAGGCGACGGCCUGCUGGACGUGGAUGCGGAGCGCUUGAAGGGAUUACUUGUGUCGCAUGACAUCAACGAGAUCUACGAGGUGGAACAGACGCCGUUUGCCAGGUGAGUGAGGAACCGAAACAGAAACCGGAGCAUACUCAGACACACACACAGACAGACAGACGUACAAACGUACAAAACGUGUUUUCUUCUCCUUUUGUCGACUUCCUCUUCUUCCUCUUCUCCUUGCCUCAAAAAGUUGCCAAAAAAGCGAAAACUGCGCCAUCGUCUGCAACAUGUCCAGCGACAAAGCACAAAAAUGCUUAAAGAAAGUCAGUCAGCAAUCAGUUAAAAAAAACACACAUACAGUGAGUCAAAAAACUAUUGACACACCUCAAAU